RNAcentral lists this ribosomal RNA (424 nucleotides) under uncultured bacterium. RNAcentral's name for it is "bacterial SSU rRNA". It matches the Rfam family "Bacterial small subunit ribosomal RNA", at positions 356 to 773 of the family's 1533-position model. The record is from RNAcentral.
GGGGAAUAUUGGACAAUGGGCGCAGGCCUGAUCCAGCAAUGCCGCGUGUGUGAAGAAGGCCUGCGGGUUGUAAAGCACUUUUGUUCGGGAAGAAAUCAUGCCGACUAAUACUUGGUAUGGAUGACGGUACCGGAAGAAUAAGCACCGGCUAACUUCGUGCCAGCAGCCGCGGUAAUACGAAGGGUGCAAGCGUUAAUCGGAAUUACUGGGCGUAAGGGUGCGUAGGCGGCUUUUUAAGUCGGAUGUGAAAUCCCCGGGCUUAACCUGGGAAUGGCAUACGAUACUGGGGAGCUAGAGUUUGGGAGAGGGUGGUGGAAUUCCCGGUGUAGCGGUGAAAUGCGUAGAGAUCGGGAGGAACAUCAGUGGCGAAGGCGGCCACCUGGCCUAAAACUGACGCUGAGGCACGAAAGCGUGGGGAGCAAAC